RNAcentral lists this ribosomal RNA (498 nucleotides) under Triticum aestivum (bread wheat). Its description in RNAcentral is "partial small subunit ribosomal RNA". The record is from RNAcentral. Lineage: Eukaryota; Viridiplantae; Streptophyta; Magnoliopsida; Poales; Poaceae.
AUGGCUUCGUCAGGCUCAGCCGGCCUCGCUCUCCAGGCGGCCGCCGUCGCCGCCAUGCUCGCCAUGCUUGUCCUGCCUUCGUCAGGCCGCUGUCCAUCGCUGGGGCCGGUACCGCCGCCGCCGGCAAAGGGGGCACCGCCACCCGCACCGACAUCAUUACCACCAGCUCCGGCACCGUCGAUAUCGUGCGGGGCCUGUGCUCAAUCGUUCGGGAGCUCAACCUGCAGAUCGUUGUGCAUGGCCUCCGCCAAUGGGAAAUGCCCUUGCCUACUGGUUCAACCUCGCCUCUGCCACGACUGCACGACCACCGUCGACGAGUGCAUGGCCAACUGCACCGGCGACAGGUGUGACUGCGGCGCCACCGAAUGCGAUGCCACUUGUGCCUUAUUUGUGAAAUGUUUAGAGUGCCCGGAAAACCAAAGUAAGAUGUGCCGGAUCACCUGCACGGCUAGGGCUGGAAUUCGAGCCGAGUCGAGCCAGCUCGGCUCGGCUCGCUAG